RNAcentral lists this ribosomal RNA (440 nucleotides) under uncultured bacterium. RNAcentral describes it as "partial 16S ribosomal RNA". It matches the Rfam family "Bacterial small subunit ribosomal RNA", at positions 338 to 795 of the family's 1533-position model. The record is from RNAcentral.
CCUACGGGGUGCAGCAGUGGGGGAUAUUGCAAAAUGGGGGGAACCCUGAUGCAGCGACGCCGCGUGGGUGAAGAAGCGCCUCGGCGCGUAAAGCCCUGUCAGCAGGGAAGAAAAUGACGGUACCUGAAGAAGAAGCCCCGGCUAACUACGUGCCAGCAGCCGCGGUAAUACGUAGGGGGCAAGUGUUAUCCGGAUUUACUGGGUGGAAAGGGGGCGCAGACGGCGAUGCAAGCCAGGAGUGAAAGCCCGGGGCCCAACCCCGGGACUGCUCUUGGAACUGCGUGGCUGGAGUGCAGGAGGGGCAGGCGGAAUUCCUGGUGUAGCGGUGAAAUGCGUAGAUAUCAGGAGGAACACCGGUGGCGAAGGCGGCCUGCUGGACUGCAACUGACGUUGAGGCCCGAAAGCGUGGGGAGCAAACAGGAUUAGAUACCCGAGUAGUC